GACGAACGCUGGCGGCGUGCUUAACACAUGCAAGUCGAACGAUGAAGCACCAGCUUGCUGGUGUGGAUUAGUGGCGAACGGGUGAGUAACACGUGAGUAACCUGCCCCUCACUCUGGGAUAAGCCUGGGAAACUGGGUCUAAUACUGGAUACGACCGAUCUCCGCAUGGAGUGUUGGUGGAAAGUUUUUGUGGUGGGGGAUGGACUCGCGGCCUAUCAGAUUGUUGGUGGGGUAAUGGCCUACCAAGGCGACGACGGGUAGCCGGCCUGAGAGGGCGACCGGCCACACUGGGACUGAGACACGGCCCAGACUCCUACGGGAGGCAGCAGUGGGGAAUAUUGCACAAUGGGCGAAAGCCUGAUGCAGCGACGCCGCGUGAGGGAUGACGGCCUUCGGGUUGUAAACCUCUUUCACCAGGGACGAAGCUAACGUGACGGUACCUGGAGAAGAAGCACCGGCUAACUACGUG
Molecule: ribosomal RNA, 469 nt
Filed under: uncultured bacterium
Lineage: Bacteria
Description: partial 16S ribosomal RNA
Rfam family: Bacterial small subunit ribosomal RNA
Source: RNAcentral